Molecule: ribosomal RNA, 392 nt
Filed under: Validiblatta brunnea (brown cockroach)
Lineage: Eukaryota; Metazoa; Arthropoda; Insecta; Blattodea; Blattidae
Description: Periplaneta brunnea (brown cockroach) partial large subunit ribosomal RNA
Rfam family: Archaeal large subunit ribosomal RNA (bases 1-199)
Source: RNAcentral
AAAAACAUCUUUUCUUGUAUAUAAAAUAUGAAGUAUGACCUGCCCACUGAUUAAUUAUUAAAGGGCCGCGGUAUUUUGACCGUGCAAAGGUAGCAUAAUCAUUAGUCCUUUAAUUGUGGACUGGAAUGAAUGGUUGGACGAGGAAUAUACUGUUUCUUAUUAUUUUAUUUGAAUUUAAUUUUUGAGUUAAAAGGCUUAAAUUUAUUUAUGGGACGAGAAGACCCUAUAGAGUUUAUACAUAUAUUUAUUUAUUUAUUUUGUUUGAUUAUUAUAUUAUUAUUUAAUAUGUUUUGUUGGGGUGAUAGGAAGAAUUAAUUAACUCUUUUUUAUUUUAUACAUUGAUUUAUGAAAGGUUGAUCCAUUUUUGUUGAUUAUAAGAUUAAAUUACCUUA